UAGGGAAUCUUCCGCAAUGGGCGAAAGCCUGACGGAGCAACGCCGCGUGAGUGAUGAAGGUCUUCGGAUCGUAAAACUCUAUUAUUAGGGAAGAAUAAAUGUGUAAGUAACUAUGCACGUCUUGACGGUACCUAAUCAGAAAGCCACGGCUAACUACGUGCCAGCAGCCGCGGUAAUACGUAGGUGGCAAGCGUUAUCCGGAAUUAUUGGGCGUAAAGCGCGCGUAGGCGGUUUUUUAAGUCUGAUGUGAAAGCCCACGGCUCAACCGUGGAGGGUCAUUGGAAACUGGAAAACUUGAGUGCAGAAGAGGAAAGUGGAAUUCCAUGUGUAGCGGUGAAAUGCGCAGAGAUAUGGAGGAACACCAGUGGCGAAGGCGACUUUCUGGUCUGUAACUGACGCUGAUGUGCGAAAGCGUGGGGAUCAAACAGG
RNAcentral lists this ribosomal RNA (429 nucleotides) under Bacteroidota bacterium. RNAcentral's name for it is "Bacteroidetes bacterium partial 16S ribosomal RNA". It matches the Rfam family "Bacterial small subunit ribosomal RNA", at positions 355 to 776 of the family's 1533-position model. The record is from RNAcentral. Lineage: Bacteria; Pseudomonadati; Bacteroidota.